RNAcentral lists this long non-coding RNA (1364 nucleotides) under Olea europaea subsp. europaea. Lineage: Eukaryota; Viridiplantae; Streptophyta; Magnoliopsida; Lamiales; Oleaceae. The record is from RNAcentral.
CAAAGCAUAAAUAAAGAGUAAUCAGCACAAACGUUCUUACCUUUAAGUUUAUAGUGGAAAAUGUUUUUACUUUUUAUUUUUUGACAAUUUUUCCCCUUAUUUCUAUCUCUCUUUGCGGAAAACGUCAUUUCAUCAACUUAUCGUUACUUGCUCUGUUAAUUAAUUACAAAAAUAUAAUUUUCUUUUUAAACACCAAGGGUAAAAUAGUCUCAACCCAUUUAAGCCCCUUCGUCUUCUCUUACGCAUGAAGGUUCCGUUGAGGUUUCCUCUUCAAAAAAAUUCAUUUUUUUUUUCUAUUUGUACAAGUUUUCCUUCCUUCUCCUCUGAUAUGCUAUCAUCUCAUCUCGUGGGCGCAUAGUGGAAGCACGUAGUGAUAAAUUUUGGAAGAGCAAAGGUAAAAGACAUUACAAGUAGGUAUUUUUUUUUUUCAUUUCAUAAUUUUGUGUUUUGCACGAUUGAGAAUCUAUGUCGAGUUUUGAUACUGUUUUGUUAUGCAGACCUUCGAGGGGCAACACGUUUCUUCCGUUUUUGAGAAAUCCAAGCGACCCAUUUAUGGUAUAAUAUUCAUUUCCUAAAUUUCUAUGUGAAUUCAUCCAAUUCCACUGUGCAUUCACAUAAUUUCAAUGUCCAAUCCCCAAAUUUAUGUCCAUUUUAGUGUGAUACAUUCAGCGUUUCUCUAUCACCGGGCAUAUUUCAUUUUGACGUGAAUUCAAUGUGCAUUUAGCGUUUAUCAAUUUAUUUGCAAAGUUAGAAUCAAAGCCUAAAAUUUCCAAUUUUAUUGCUUGAUUUUGAUGUGAACUUUAUAUUAUUGUAUACAGGUGUUAAUCUUGAAUAUUUCACUGUUGAAGUACAUUAUGAAGGCCAAUUUUAUGAUAAACCAAACACUGUGAUGUAUGAAGGGAGGUUCGUGCUUUUCGUCGACUUCAUUUAUUGUAAAUGGUGCAUAGAAGAGAAUUUGAGUAAAUUCUUACAUGGAACUUGUUAUGAAAGGAUGUUGAAGGCGGGAAGAGGGGGGUGUAAAUGGAUUGAGAAUAUUUUACCCUUGGUGUUUGAAAAGAAAAAUGUAUUUUUGUAUUGAAUGAAGGAGCAAGUGACGGUAAGUGGAUGUUAGGACAUUUUCCGUAAUAAAAAAGGUGGAAAUAAGGAAUGUCUAAAAACGAAGGUAGGAAUUUUUUCACAAUAAACUUGAAAGAUAUGGACGUUUUGUGCUAAUGACCCGUAAAUAAGUGAUACAAAAUUGCUCCAAUAGACUGGUAGAGGUCUACCCAAAUUCUCUAUGGUCUAGACAGUUUUAAAAAGAAUAUAUAUAUAUUCUCUUCACUCCACCUGUGUUCAAAGUGGUUGAAGUUAGGUCAAGAUUGGCU